RNAcentral lists this small RNA (127 nucleotides) under Marmota monax (woodchuck). Lineage: Eukaryota; Metazoa; Chordata; Mammalia; Rodentia; Sciuridae. The record is from RNAcentral.
GCUGGGUGCGGUGGCUCACGCCUGUAAUCCCAGCAGUUUGGGAGGCUGAGGCAGGAGGAUCAUGAGUUCAAAGCCAAUCCCUGCAACUCAGUUAGGCUCUCAGCAAGUCAGUGAGACUCUGUCUCUA